Molecule: long non-coding RNA, 8689 nt
Organism: Loxodonta africana (African savanna elephant)
Lineage: Eukaryota; Metazoa; Chordata; Mammalia; Proboscidea; Elephantidae
Exons: 7
Source: RefSeq, a predicted model, not a curated record
CUAAAUAGCACAUACUCCAAAAAGAAAACACAACUUUCCUUUCUUUGUCAAUACACUGACAGAUUUGGAAAAGAUACAAUUUCAAAAGCAGUGUUCAUGAUUACUUAAGAUGAUGACUCUUCAAAAUUUAGAAAACUUUACACAGACUGUUUCCUCAUCUUUCCUGAAGUGCUUCUGAAAAACGAGAAUAUCUCAUCCGGUUGCCAUUUUCUAAUAUGGCAAAACAUGUGAUGCCCUGAUUUGAAAUUCAGGGAAGUGUUUUCGUUCAGCACUUAGAGUUUAAGAAAGUAAGCUUCAGAAAUUCUCUUCCUUUGCCUCCUCCAGUCCUAUUUCAAUCUCAUCUGACCUUUGGCUUCAAUGAGAAUGUAAAUACAUUUCUUCUUAGCCUCAACCAAAGGUUUGGAGCCUACCUUUGGAGAUUGUACUUCCAAGUGUGUUCCACUCUUGGCACGGUAUAUUAAUUCCAGUAACUUCCUGGGAAUUGCAAGGACAACGACUGAGCAGAAAACCCAUCAGCUUAAACUGAAGAGGAAAGAGAAAGAACAAAAAGAACACUGUCUGCCUCUUGGAAUCCUAUAAAUAGGAAUGAGGUCAAUGGAGCUAUAUCUGUUGUCCUCCACAAAAAGAAAAGGAUCAUCCAUGGAGCAGCUCAGAUCAGCAGAACUGUUGGAAGGAGCAUGGCGAAAAGAAGCCAAAAUGAUAGGAAAACUGAACCAAAAUGAACUGCGGAACAGUUCAAGGAAGAGUUAAAAACCAAGGGAAGAAAAAAAGACCUAAAAGAAACCUGGAAGCAAAUUUUAGUACCAGCCUGGAAGUGGGUUAAGACCAAUUGAUGCAUCUUAGAAAAACUGCCAACUUUUAUUGAGAAAGAGGUGAAUUAAAAAAAAAAGUUGUGGAAGCCAAGGAGUUUGAAGAAAGAGAUGGUUAUUGCAGUUAAAUGGAAGAAGAGUGACAACUCGUGAACAUACCGUUGGAGGAAUGUAACCAUUAUGGAGGGUAAAUACAGCAUGAACCAUAAAAAAGUACAUACCCUAAAUUAAAACCAAAAUGAGAUACCACUAUGUAUCUGUCAGAAAGGCUACUUUUUUUGUUGUUGUUUUUUUAACUAACAAUACCGAAUGCUGGCAAGAAUGAGGGGCAACUGGAGCUCUCACACAUUGCUCGUAGGAGUGAAGAACAGUACAACCACUAUGGAAAAUAGUUUGACAGUUUCAUACAAAAUUAAACAUAUACUAACAUAUGGCUUAGGAAGCCUGCUCUUAGGUAUUUACUCAAAGACAAUAAAAAUGUAUGUCCACUCAAAAUAAUUCUAUUAUGAAAACAUUCUGCAUCCCACUUUGAAAUGUGGCGUCUGGGGUCUUAAAAGCUAACAAGCGGCCAUCUAAAAUGCAUCAACUGGUCUCAACCCACCUGGAGCAAAGAAGAAUGAAGAACACCAAGGUCACACGACAACUGAGAGCCCAAGAGACAGAGAGGGCCACAUGAACCAGAGACAUCAUCCUGAAAACAGAAGAACUAGUUGGUGCCCGGCUACAAUCGAUGACUGCCCUGACAGGGAGCACAAUAGUGAACCCCUGAGGGAGCAGGAGAGCAGUGGGAUGCAGACCCCAAAUUCUCAUAAAAAGACCAUACUUAAUGGUCUGGAUGUGACUAGAGGAAUCCUGGCGGUCAUGGUCUCCAAACCUUCUCUUGGCACAGGAUGGGAACCAUCCCCGAAGACAAUUCAUCAGACAUGAAAGGGACUGGACAGUGGGUGGGAGAGAGAUGCUGAUGAAGAGUGAGCUAAUAAUAUUAGGUGGACACUUGAGACUGUGUUGGCAUCUCCUGUCUGGAGAGGGGAUGGGAGGAUAGAGAGAGUUGGAGGCUGCCAAAGUUUUCACGAAAGGAGAGACUGGAAGGGCCGACUCAUUAGGGGGAGAGCAAGUGGGAGUAAGGAGUAAGAUGUAUAUUAACUUAUACGUGACAGACUGACUUGAUUUGUAAACGUUCACUUGAAGCUCAAUAAAAGUUAAUAAAAAAAAAAAUGUAUGUCCACUUUGUCUGGGGUCUUAAACCCAGAUGCUAGCAAGCAGCCAUCUAAGAUGCAUCAGUUGGUCUCAACCUAGAAUGAAGAACACCAAGGACACAAGGCGAUUACGAGCCCAAGACAGAAAGGGCCACAUGAACCAGUGACUACAUCAGCCUGAGACCAGAAGAACUAGAUGGUGACUGGCUACAACCGAUGACUGCCCUGACAGGGAACACAACCAGAGAACACCUGAGGGAGCAGGAUAGCAGUGGGAUGCAGACCCCAAAUUCUCAUAAGAACAGACUUAAUGGUCUGACUGAGACUAAAAUGACCCCGGUGGACAUGGCCCCCAGACCUUCUGUUGGCCCAGGACAGGAACCAUUCCUGAAGCCAACUCUUCAGACAGGGAUUGGACUGGACAAUGAGUUGGAGAGGGAUGCUAGUGAGGAGUGAGCUUCCCGGAUCAGGUGGACACUUGAGACUAUGUUGGCAUCUCCUUCCUGGAGGGGAGAGGAGAGGGUGGAGGGGGUUAAAAGCUGGCGAAAUGGACAUGAAAAGAGACAGUGGAGAGAGGGAGCGGGCUGCCUCAUUAGGGGGAGAGUAAUUGGGAGUAUGUAACAAGGUGUAUAUGGGUUUUUGUGUGAGAGGCUGACUUGAUUUGUAAACUUUCACUUAAAGCACAAUAAAAAUUAUUUAAAAAAAAAUGUAUGUCCACUCAAAAACCUAUACCCAAGUCUUAAACGCUAGCAAGCGGCCAUCUCAGAUGCAUCAAUCAGUCUCAACCCACCUGGAGCAAAGGAGAAUGAAGAACACCAGAGACAUAUGGUAAAGAUGAGCCCAAGAGGCAGAAAGGGCGACAUAAACCAGAGACUACAUCAGCCUGAGACCAGAAGAACUAGAUGAAGCCCAGCUACCACCUAUCACUGCCCUAACAGGGAACACAUCAGAGAAUCCCUGAUGGAGCAGGAGAACAGUGGGAUGUAGAUCUCAAAUUCUCAUAAGAAGACCAGACUUAAUGGAGGCCAUGGUCCCCGGGCCCUUUCUUAACCCAAGACUGGAACCAUUUCCAAACCCAACUCUUCAGACAGGGAUUGUACUGGACUAUAAGAUAAUGAUAUUGGUGAGGAGUGAGCUUCUUGGCUCAAGUAGACACAUGAGUCUAUGUGGGCAACUCCUGUCUGGAGGCAAAAUGAGAAGGAAGAGGGGGACGGGAGCUUGUUGAAUGGACACAGGGAAUACAGGCAGGAGAAGAGGAAUGUUCUGUCUCAUUAGGGGGAGAGCAGCUAGGAGUACAUAACAAGGUGUGUAUAACUUUUUAUAUGAGAGACUGACUUGAUUUGUAAACUUCCACAUAAAGCACAAUAAAUAAAUUAACCAAUUAAAAAAAAAAACCUAUAUCUGAACGUUUAUAGUGGUUUUAUUCACGAUUGCCAAAAAUUAGAAAAAACCCACAUGUUCUUCAACUGGAGAAGGGAUAAACAAACUGUGAUACAUACAUACAAUUUUUAAAAACUCAGCAACAAAAUGGAGGAAACUCCUGAUAUGUAACAACAUCAAUGAAUGCUAAGUGAAUGAAGCCAGACUCAAAAGGCUAUAUACUGUAUGAUUUUGUAUAUAAGACAUCCUGAGAAGGCAUAAUUAUAGGGUUAGAAGACAGAUCAGUAGUUCCUGAAGGAGGGGUGUGGGAAGAAAGGUUGACUACAACGGAGCAACAGGGAAUUAUGGAGGGGUGAUGAGACAGCUCCGUAUCUUGAUUGUAGCGGUGAUUGUUACAUGACCGUAUUUGUCAAAAUUCAUAGAACUAUACACUAAAAAAAAAAAAAACAAAUUUUUUUUAAGAAGAGUGAAUUUUACUGUGUAAAUUAUACUUCUAUAAACCUGAGUUUUUGUUUUUGUUUUUGUUUUUUAAAGAUACACUCUUCUUAAUUCUACUUCUAGGAAUUUAUCUGAAAGAAACAAUUGAACAAGUGUGUUACUAUAUAUGAGCAAGAAUACUGUAAUUCAAAUUUGUCUGUUAUAGGUAAAAAUUGAAAACAGCCUAACAGUCCAAAUGCAGGGGAUUGGUUAAAUAUAAAAUAUAUUAGGCUACUUCUAUACAGUACUGUGCAAUCAUUAAUUUGAUGAUUUGGGUAUGUAUCUAUUGACAUAAAAGAACAUUCACAAAAUAGUGUUAAGGAAAAAAAAAGGCCAGUAUAUAUAUGACAUGGAAACCCUGGUGGCAUAGUCGUUAAGUACUACAGCUGCUAAUCAAGAGGUCAGCAGUUUGAAUCUGCCAGAUGCUCCUUGGAGACUCCAUGGGGCAGUUCUACUGUGUCCUAUAGGGCCACUACGAGUCAGAACCGACUGGACGGCAGCGGGUUUAUAUAUAAUAUGGUCCCAUUUUUGUAAAUAUACGUAUAUACACAAAAUACAAAUCUCAUGUCCUUUUUCUGAAAAAUGUACAAAUAUUUCGAGAGCAAAUAAGACGACGUCAAUGAAAGAACAGUAAGCUCCUUAGCCAUAAGGUUUCAAAGAAAUUCAAAUCAUUUGUCACAGUCUGAUCUGAGAACAGACUUACUUGGGGGAUGAUUUAAAUCACAAGCUUUUGCUAUAUUAUUCCCUGAUUCCUAUUCCUGUAGGGACUCAGAUAUAAUAGUGCCUUCAAAUACAAAGAAAAUUCUCUUUAACUAGAAAGCUUCUUACCACUGAAGGAAGUAGUGGGAAGAACAAUGCCUCUUGCUUGGAUUGGUUCAAUCCGUCACUUGGAUUAGAUGAAUGGUGGAGAAUAAGAAGGCAAAGGAGAAGACAGGCGGAGUGAGGUGGCCACCAGUAGAACAAACGAUUUCAAUUCCAGGACACCAUAAUAUCCUUUUGUCCUCCCUCCUUCCAGAGGAAGUAGUUUAGUAAAUAUAUUAAGGGGACUCCUGCCUUGAUACAACCUAUUCUUUGGAGUCACUCUCAGAGACAAUGAAGCAUGGAUCUGCCUACCUUGGAGUGGCAAUUUUUAUGUUCUUACAUAUAACUACAGAACCUGGUUAAACUGCCCUGGUUAUGUUCCCAUUCUGCAGAUAGAUGGCUGAAAAUCUCACUACUAAUUGCUCCCCUCUCUUGGUUCCAACACUUUGCUCAUAUCAGCAUUUAGAAUGUAUGACCAUGGUAUUCUAGUAAUUGGGUAAAGUAACUGCAUCUCCUAAGAGAGCAUAAAGUCCUUGAGGGCAGGAAUUAUGUCUUAUUUGUUUUUGUAUCUAGGGCCUGGCACAGUGCCUAGCACUUGGAAGUACUCAGUAUGUUUAUAAACUAGUAAAUGAAUUACUAACCUUAAAGAAAAAGGUGGCUACAAAGAGUGACCCCAGAUGGCUGGAAUCCCUACACAGAAAAGCAAACUCCUACUACCUCCACUUCCCCAGUUGGUAGAGCAGCAGUUCUCAGGGUGUGAUGUCCCCGGCCCCUUCACCCCAGCAGCAACAGCAUUACCUGGGAACUUGAGAGAAAUGCAAAUUUCUGGGCACACCCUAGAUCCUCAGAAUCAGAGACUGUGGGGAUAGGGGCCAGAAAUGGGUAUUUUUAACAAACUUUCAGGUGAUUCUGAUGUAGACGGACACUGUGUCCUCGUUUUAGUUUAGCCCAGCAGCUACACGACCAGCCACAGCUGGAUUUCUAAAUAAUUCAAAAUUCAUUCUACUGGUGUCAAAAAAGGGGAUUGGAAUGAUGCCUGAGGACCCUUCUGGUCUAAAAUUUUGUGAAAUAGCAGAAGCAGAAAGUAAAUAAAUGUCCUCUGACUAGAUUAAUUCAUUCAGUCAACAAAUAUUUAUGUACCAGGCAGUGUUCUAACCAUCAAAUCAAUCCAUGACACAAAUUUUUCUUUAAAAGAAGCUUUUUGUAAAGUUUAUCUUUUUAUUAAAAGCCACUCCUUUUGAAUGAAGAACACCAAAGACACAAGUAAAAUAUUAGCCCAAGAAACAAAAAGGACCACAUAAACCACAGACUCCAUCAGCCUGAGACCAGAAGAACUAGAUGGUGCCCAGCUACCACCAAUGAUCACCCUGACAGGGAACACAACAGAGAGUCCCUGACAGAGCAGGAAAAAAGUGGGGUGCAAAACUCAAAUUCUAGUAAGUAGACCGGACUUAAUGGUCUGACUGAGACUGGAGAGACCCCAGAAGAUAUGGCCCCCAGACUCUCUGUUAACUCAGAAGCAAAGCCAUUUCCAAAGCCAACUCUUCAGACAAAAAUUAGACAGGACUAUAAGACAUGAAACGAUACCCAUGAAGAGCAUGCUUCUUAGUUGAAGUAAAUACAUGACACUAAAUGGGCAGCUUCUGUCUGGAGGCGAAACAAGAAGGUAGAAAGUGUCAGGAGCUGGUUGAAUGGACAUGGGAAAUCCAGGGUGGAAAAAAGGAGUGUGCUGACAUAUUAUACGGAUAGCAACUAAGGUCACAUAACAAUGUGUGUAUAAAUUUUCAUAUGAGAAACUAACUUGAGCUGUGAACUUUCAGCUAAAGCACAAUAAAAUGAAUAAAUAAAAAUCACUCCUUUUUAUGAAAGAUGUCGCACAUUUCCGACCACAAACUGUUACCUGUCCUCUGUCUACAAGAUUCUCAAACUGCAUUUGUCAUGCAAUGUGAACUAGAAAACUGACAUCCAAAGGGCUCUAACCACCCCUCUCCCACGAAUUACUCUGACUUUAAUUCUUGAACACUUUUGUUUUGCUUAAGGGGCUUUAGUACCAAUGUAUCAGAAGACAAGCAUGUGAUGAUAAACGUGAUUACCCAUCAAUCAGGAUAUAUCUCUGUUUCUACAUUAAUUCAUGCCAAAAGGUUGCUUCCCCUUCCAGGAAAUCUAAAUCCACCUAAUUCUGUAGCCUCUUUGAUUCUCUCUUCUCAACAAUUAGUUACCAUCUGCACUGCUUAAGAAACCCUGGUGGCAUAGUGGUUAAGUGCUAUGGCUGCUAACCAAAGGGUCAGCAGUUUGAAUCCACCAGGCGCUCCUUGGAAACUCUUUGGGGCAGUUCUACCCUGUCCUAUAGGGUCGCUAUGAGUCGAGAAUCGACUCGACGGCACUGGGUUUGGUUUGGUUUGGUUUGUACCGCUUAAGUUCCUGUGUGACCCUUCCUGUUUCCUUUCCACCUGCCUCCCUCCCUCACUGAACUUUCAUAUAUCCCACCACACAAACUCAGAGCACUUAGCAGCUUCCUGUAAUGUGUUUUACACAGAUGAAUUGAAAUCCAGAACUCAAAAAAAGUCACCACACUUGGACACUUGGAUUAUCUGUUCACUUUUCAUUGCAUCAGAAAGGACAGGAGAGGGCGCCAGAUGGCAGCAAAAUGCACGGGUUUUCCUAGGGGUUUAGCCAAUUCCAGGGUGAGAAAUGAGCUGGAGAAGGAGAAGUUGGAAGUGAAACAAAGGUGCCAGAGUUUGAGCAGAAACGAGAACGGGAAGAAUCACUUUUUUUUCUUUUUUAAUAUUUAAGGUUCCUCUUGACCUCUGCUCCAAAUCAGCAUGGCUGAAAAGCAAAAACAGAAAUACCUACAAUAAAGCUAAAUGGUCAAAAUAAAGCUAAGUCCCUGGAGAAAGGUGCUUGCCUCCUUUCUCUCUCUCUACUAGGAAUGUCAGCUCCCAGAAACCAGAGCUUUUGUCCUUUUGGGAGGCACCGAGUGGGGUUGUGGUAGAGGGGCUGCUCACUCGGGAUGGUGGAAAGUGCUGAUUUGGGGCCAAGACAUCUUUGUGAAACAAUGAUCAUUGUGUAAGCAGAAUCCCAAAGCCCACCAGCAGGGAAACACUUCAAAGAAGGAAUAAAACACCAUCACCAAAAAAAAAAAAAAAAAAAUUAAUUAAAUUUAAAAAUUCAUAGAUGAGCCAGGAGGUGGCGCCUGGCAAGACACAUUACCUGCCUUGGGAGGCUGAAUCUCAGCCGGCGAUCUCUGUCCUGGCAGAGGUCAUCCUAUCCAGGCCUCUCUCUUCCUUUCUACCAUACCUAAGAUGUCCCUGCUUGCUUUCUUUUUUCCGUUUUUCUGUGUUAGUCUAAACGUGGCCUAACAGACACUUUAAGCUUUCUUAUUCUUCUUAGGUGGGAUGAGUGGCACUUUGGGGUAACCUGGAAACAUAAAACUUAGCUGCAAGAGAAAAAUAAUUCGAGGGUAAUAGGAAAUAAAAAAGGAAAUGACAUCGGCAAAAUGGCAAAUCAACACAGGAGACAGAAAGGCAAGGCGGGCAGUUGGCUGUGCAGGCGCUGAUGACCCGGUACAUGCAUUAUUCUGUUCAUUUGGCUUUUAUCCCGCUCUCUUAUUUAGCUUCUGCUCCCUUUGUUUGAGACUUUUUUUCUUUUUCCCUUUGUUUGGGCCAUUUAUUACUACUUGGCAAGAGCAAGGAGAGCAGAGGGAGCUCAAAUGGGUGCAUCCUCCUGGCUAGUGAGUCUGCUGAAGAAUAUGGAGGAGAAAAAGGUUUCAAUGCUUGGCUGGAAAUUAUUUGUGGGCUUUGCAUUCUCUCAUGCGGGAUUUAGGAUGUACAUUCCAAUCGGGAUUUCCAGUCCCGUGGGGGAACAAACACCAGCCCACAUUCCUGAGACACCGGGCCUCUAUGCUCCACUCUCCCAGCUCCUGGGUGGCAGGUUUCACCCAAUCCGGCUUGCCCUGCCUCGACCGUUUGUUAGGCGGGAGAAAAGAUCCCCGACCUUUCUCCCAUCUGCACUAUGUGGUCUCUCUCU